GUCCACGCCCUAAACGAUGUCUACUUGCUGUUGGGGGUAACCUUAGUAGCGAAGCUAACGCGAGAAGUAGACCGCCUGGGGAGUACGGUCGCAAGAUUAAAACUCAAAGGAAUUGACGGGGACCCGCACAAGCGGUGGAUGAUGUGGAUUAAUUCGAUGCAACGCGAAAAACCUUACCUGCUCUUGACAUGUAUGGAAGAUUUCAGAGAUGAGAUUGUGCCUUCGGGAACCAUAACACAGGUGCUGCAUGGCUGUCGU
RNAcentral lists this ribosomal RNA (258 nucleotides) under uncultured bacterium. RNAcentral describes it as "partial 16S ribosomal RNA". It matches the Rfam family "Bacterial small subunit ribosomal RNA", at positions 793 to 1055 of the family's 1533-position model. The record is from RNAcentral.